This 283-nucleotide ribosomal RNA is filed under the name uncultured soil bacterium. RNAcentral's name for it is "partial 16S ribosomal RNA". It matches the Rfam family "Bacterial small subunit ribosomal RNA", at positions 26 to 310 of the family's 1533-position model. The record is from RNAcentral.
AGAUUGAACGCUGGCGGCAGGCCUAACACAUGCAAGUCGAGCGGCAGCACGGGUACUUGUACCUGGUGGCGAGCGGCGGACGGGUGAGUAAUGCCUAGGAAUCUGCCUGGUAGUGGGGGAUAACGCUCGGAAACGGACGCUAAUACCGCAUACGUCCUACGGGAGAAAGCAGGGGACCUUCGGGCCUUGCGCUAUCAGAUGAGCCUAGGUCGGAUUAGCUAGUUGGUGAGGUAUGGCUCACCAAGGCGACGAUCCGUAACUGGUCUGAGAGGAUGAUCAGUCA